AUAAUAAUAAUAAUAAUAAUAAAUCAAACAAUGUAAAAGUAUUUUGAUUUUUAACAAUAUUGAUCAAGACUUACCGAAAAAAAAAAACUCAAUAAAAAAAUAUUUUAUUUCUCAAUUACAUAUAAAUUAAACUAAUACAACUACAAUUAUUACUUUAAAGGUAAUAUUUUCCAUAAUUCACAUAUGUAAUUUUAAGACUCUUAAAGAAGCAUUUUUAAAACUUUGAAUAUUUGAAAAUUUCAAAACACAUGAAGUUUACCUUCAUUUUUCUAAGAAAUAUCAUACAAAUAUAGUUGACUAUGAAUGGUUUAUAUAAAAAAUGAAUAACUGAAAACAUAAAUCAUACAUUAAUUUAAAUUCUUACACCUAACAUGAUCAAAUUUCUGCAUGUUAGUCUUAAAUAUAUCUUAUUAAAAUUAACAUGCAAAAAAUAAAUUCACAUUGAGUCAAAACUUUCAAAUAUAAAAUUUCCACUCAAA
This 479-nucleotide long non-coding RNA is filed under the name Physcomitrium patens. RNAcentral's name for it is "long non-coding RNA (PPAT_LNC007090)". The record is from RNAcentral. Lineage: Eukaryota; Viridiplantae; Streptophyta; Bryopsida; Funariales; Funariaceae.